Molecule: ribosomal RNA, 253 nt
Filed under: uncultured bacterium
Lineage: Bacteria
Description: partial 16S ribosomal RNA
Rfam family: Bacterial small subunit ribosomal RNA
Source: RNAcentral
UACGUAGGGUGCAAGCGUUAUCCGGAAUUACUGGGUGUAAAGGGUGUGUAGGCGGUUUAUCAAGUCAUGUGUGAAAACCCAGUGCUCAACAUUGGGCCUGCACAAGAAACUAGUAAACUUGAGUACAGGAGAGGUAAGCGGAAUUCCUAGUGUAGCGGUGAAAUGCGUAGAUAUUAGGAAGAACACCAGUGGCGAAGGCGGCUUACUGGACUGAAACUGACGCUGAGACACGAAAGCGUGGGGAGCAAACAGG